RNAcentral lists this ribosomal RNA (305 nucleotides) under uncultured bacterium. RNAcentral describes it as "bacterial SSU rRNA". It matches the Rfam family "Bacterial small subunit ribosomal RNA", at positions 338 to 640 of the family's 1533-position model. The record is from RNAcentral.
CCUACGGGGCGCAGCAGUGAGGAAUAUUGGUCAAUGGUCGGGAGACUGAACCAGCCAAGCCGCGUGAGGGAUGAAGGUACAGAGUAUCGUAAACCUCUUUUGUCAGGGAGCAACGCCGGCUACGUGUAGCCGGACUGAGAGUACCUGAAGAAAAAGCAUCGGCUAACUCCGUGCCAGCAGCCGCGGUAAUACGGAGGAUGCGAGCGUUAUCCGGAUUUAUUGGGUUUAAAGGGUGCGCAGGCGGAAGAUCAAGUCAGCGGUAAAAGCCCGGGGCUCAACCCCGGCGAGCCGUUGAAACUGGCUGU